Long non-coding RNA from Sarcophilus harrisii (Tasmanian devil), 2660 nucleotides. The record is from Ensembl. NCBI's taxonomy places the organism in Eukaryota, Metazoa, Chordata, Mammalia, Dasyuromorphia, Dasyuridae.
UUUUGCCUCUGUCAUCAUUAAAGGAAAUGAAAGGGAGGCAACUGAGAGACUCCCUUGUAUGACCACAGGAAAAAUAAGAGGAUGAAUGAUUAUGGCAAAGUGUCAGUCAAAAGGAUUUAUCUCCAAAGGUCAAGUUCAUUGAUUGGCUACGAUUUCAGGUGGCAUUUUCUGCAUGUAGGAUGGGUGGCUUCUUUCAGACUGCCCAAAUCACAAAAUGUGAGUGUAGUUGAAAUAUUCUUUGACACACAACAGGAAAUAAGAUGUACACUCUAACACUGCAAUAAAGAUUUGAAAAUAAAAGAGAGAAUUCUCGAAGGUGAGAUGGGAACCAAUGCACUAAUGAACGUGAAGGAACCACAGGAUGUUAUGAAAUCAAAGAACAUGAAACCAAAAUUCUGUUAUUAAAUAUUUUCUUGAAAAGCAAAUUAAUUGUUAUAUAUUUUGAAUUCUCCCUGCUAGUCUGCUGGGAUUUGACAAUAUUGUUACUCUGUUAUUUCAAUGGUUUUUCUGGUUUUCAGUUAGUUCUUUUUUUUUUUUUUUUUUUUUUAAUUUGGAAGUUAAUAUAAAUUGAAAAGAAAUAUACCUACCUGGACUGCUCUUCUCCUGAAGGGGUCACUGUGCUCAACAUGUGUGUGAUUACUUCAGCUGCUCCAGACAUUCAGAAAAAGUUGUACAAGAUAACCAUAGGACCACAAUUUUCCCAGACCCAGCUGUGGGGAAAGCUUGGACAGUUUUGAACAGUUACUGAGCAACAGUUAUGAACUAUUUGGAAAACUGCCCAAGGGCUUCAGAGCAUUCUAGAAGCUCCAGGCCAUUUCUGUUGCUGGCUAGCAAAGGCUAAUCAACUAUCAGGGCCUCCUAGUAGAUUCUCCCAAUUUAGUUUUCUGCCUGUGUCCCCAUUGUCCCCCCGGCCCGCUGUUUCCUGACCCUACACAGUCCAGUGCUAUUAUUCAUCGUAGUGAGGAAACUUUCCAUUCAGUCUGCUCUAGGGGCUCCCAUGCUCACUGGGAUGACAGAACUGCAAAGAAAGGGCAAUCCUGACAGCCAGGACUUCACCAGGAAGUGUGCAGGGGAAAUUCGAGAUUGACUGCAAGCCGUGGCCCCACACAGAGAGUCGUCUGUAAUGUUGGGAAAAGGACAUCCGGGGCACUCAUUGCCCCUGAGAGGUAACAGGCUUGCCCAAUCAGCUCCGGGGCUGCUGCACACUUACCCUUAGGCACGACAGCCCUGCUCUCCAAGCUCCCCGACUCUUAGACACCUUCUCAGAGUUCCCAGGGACAGCCCCAUGCUAAAUAAGGAGAGGGCACAUCAUCUUUCCCCCCUCUGGGGGCUUUCAACUCCCUCUGGCCAAGUUCCACUCCCACAGGCAAGCCAGCAUCCAGUUCUCUUUGAUGUGCAUCAAACUGCUCCCUCGGGAAAGAAUAGCCUCCACUCCCUGUGUCCAACCUGCGAUCUCCCUGGACACAAGCUGGCAGCAAUCAUUAGGCCGGUUUGUCAGCCUGGCCAAUAUGUACCCAAGGAAAGCCUGAUGGUGUUGGGGACCACCCCUCCCCCGCAGCUCUCUCUUGGAACACUUGCUCCUAGGAAGCCUGCCUCCCCUGCCAGAUAGACUUUUCUCAGAGGCCCCAGGGCAGGGCUCUGGAACCACUUCUGGUUUCAGUGGAGAUCUCUUCCAUUUAGACCAUAUUUUGGCAUGAGCUUUGAGAUGCACACCCCAUGGGUCGAAGCCCAGUUUUUGAGAUAGGAUUUUCCACUUUUCCCUGAGAUUUAUUAUCAAAGAGUGAGUUUUUAUACCAGAAGCUGGAGUUUGCGGCUUUGUCAAAUAUUUUCUAGAUAUAGGCCUUGAUCACUGGAAUCUAUUCCUCUGAUCAACCACUCUGUUAGUUAAGAGUAAAUGGUUUGGAGAACUGCUGCUUAUAUUAUACUUUUAGGUUUGGGAAUGCCAAGUCCCUAUCCUUUUUUUUAUUUUCCUUCUUUUUUACUUAAGUUUUUUAUUUUCAAAACAUAGAAAUUUGUAAUUUUUCAACAUUAACCUUUACAAAACCUUGUGUUCCAGAUUUUGCUCCCGUUGUCCCCCUCCCUCCUGUAGAUGACAAGUGAGUCAAUAUAUGUUAAUCAUGCUAAAAUAUGUUAAAUUCAGUGUAUGUAUACAUAUUUAUAUAAUUAUCAUGCUGCAUAAGAAAAAUCAGACACAAAAGGAAAUAAAAAUAAGAAAGAAAACAAAAUGCAAGCAAACAGCAACAAAAAGAGUGGAGAUGCUAUGCUGUGAUCCACUCUCAGUUCCCAGUGCUCUCUCUCUCAGUAUAGAGGGCUCUCUUUAUCACAGGAUUAUAGAAACUGUCUUGAAGCAUCUCAUGCUUGGAAAGAGCCAGGAACAUCAGAAUUGAUCAAGAAUUAUUGUAUAAUCUUGCUGUUGUACAAUGUUGUACAAUGACCAGUCCUGGUUUUGCUCAUUUCUUUUCUUUUCUUUUUUUUUUUAUUUGCAGUCAUUUUUUAAUUAUAACUUUUUAUUUACAAGAUAUGUGCUUGGGUAAAUUUUUAGCAUUGACAAUUGCAAAACCUUUCAAAUGUUUUCCUCCUUCCCCCCACCGCUCUCCCAGAUAGCAGGUAGGUCAAUAGAUGCUGAAUAUGUUAAUAUGUUAACAACAAUAUAUGUAUAU